CACGUAUUUAGCCGGAGCUUCUUAGUCAGGUACCGUCACUUUCUUCCCUGCUGAUAGGGCUUUACAUACCGAAAUACUUCUUCACCCACGCGGCGUUGCUGCAUCAGGGUUCCCCCCAUUGUGCAAUAUUCCCCACUGCUGCCUCCCGUAGGAGUCUGGGCCCGUGUCUCAGUCCCAAUGUGGCCGUCCACUCUCUCAAGCCGGCUACUGAUCGCUGCCUUGGUGGCCGUUACCCCGCAACUAGCUAAUCAGACGCGGGCCCAUCCUGUACCACCGGAGUUUUCCCCGCAGCGCCAUGCGGCACCGCGGGCUUAUGCGGUAUUAGCAGCCGUUUCCAGCUGUUGUCCCCCUGUACAGGGCAGGUUACCCACGUCGUUACUCACCCGUCGCCACUAGGCUGUAUGCUGCUUCCGCCCGAAAGCUUCCGCUGCAUACGCCCCUUGACUUGCAUGUGUUAGGCUACACCGCCAGCGUUCAUACCUGUACGCCCGUAGGACUCAAAACUCUUACG
This 511-nucleotide ribosomal RNA is filed under the name uncultured Lachnospiraceae bacterium. Its description in RNAcentral is "partial 16S ribosomal RNA". The record is from RNAcentral. Lineage: Bacteria; Bacillati; Bacillota; Clostridia; Lachnospirales; Lachnospiraceae.